Aphis gossypii (cotton aphid) is the source of this 355-nucleotide long non-coding RNA. RefSeq lists it as uncharacterized. The record is from RefSeq and is a predicted model, not a curated record. The transcript has 3 exons. Lineage: Eukaryota; Metazoa; Arthropoda; Insecta; Hemiptera; Aphididae.
UUUACACUUAAUUCUGAUGUAUUUUAAACCACGUGAUGUAGUGUAUCUGUCUAGUCUCUUCUAGUCCAUUAAGUUUAGAAAUGAACAUAUUUUGAACUCACUUAGAUUAUGCGUGAUAUGAAUACAUUAAAUGAUUUGUUACAGAUACAAAACACUAUAGUACAAUUUCUAUUAACAGUUAAAUAUCUAUGUAGCAGCCAUUAUUUUGGUCCCAUUAUCUCAUUUGAAAGCCAGAUUUGUAUACAAUAAAUUCAAUAAUCAACGUAAAUAUUCUGACUUGGCGUCUAAUAUGGAUAUUGAAUAAUGUGUAAAAUAUGAAAUAAUUUAAUUGAAGUUAUAUGAAAAAAAUUCGUAA